GACUGUUCGUUCUGACUGUAGAAAUCCAGGCGUCUUGUGUGCUGACCCUGUGCCCUGCAGCCUUACUGAACUUGUUUACUAGUCCUGGUGGCCCUUUGGUUCAGCUAAAAUGAGAGGAGAAGAGGAGAAAUGCUAAGUCACAUGAGAGAACCUGGGGGCAGUUAAGAAGAAAAGAAGAGCAGCUGGGCCGGGCGGUGUAGCUGGGGAGCUUGAGUCGUCCCCUGACUCAGAUGCAGCAGGAGUUGGUAAAAAAUAAUAACUAGAGAACCAGAAGAUGGUAUGUUGCAAAAAUUUAUGAAUUAAAUUCAGACAUUGAUUUCUGAAAUACAGUCUGCUGCUGAACUUGAACCUGGAUCCUAUGGAGCUUCUCCUCUAGGAUGUAGAGCAGCGCGUGGAGAAGCCACUUUGGGCGGCUUUUUGUGGGGUCCUGGGGCCUCUCUCAGCCUCUGGGCACCUCUGUUGAAAACCCUUCCUAGCUGUGUGGCCUGCUGGAAAUCCACUCCACCUGCUUUGCCCUGAAGAUGUGUUCUGUUUAUAACUCACUUCUACUCCUUGGAAAAUAAUUCAUUGAAAACCCAAUUGGUUUUCCACCAGCUCUGGGCAGGGAUGAGGGCUAGCAUAUUAUUAUUUUAUUAAAAAUAUAAAUAAUAAAAGAAAUGUAAUAGAAAAGAACAAAUUUGACUCUGUAUUAGGGCUGUUCCUUUACCUUUAAUAAAACCACUGUGCUCUGUUUUCUAGGCUUGUCUUGUUAGCUCUGGGCUCACAUAAAGAUAACAAGUUGCAAAAUAGACAGUAACCUUUGUUGGAGGUUUUGCAGGAGCACCAUGAUCUGACCCACAUGCACAGCUGCAAGAACAAAAGAUUCCAAGAAGGAAUUCCUGCUUUGCAGCAAACAAGCUUACUCCGUCCCCUUUUUAGUGUAAAAGUGGCCUGAAUUCUGACUUGGGGGAGAUGGUUUUUCAGGACAUUAGACUGCCACCUUUUUGGUCUGCGGGCUUUCCAAAUAAAGUUGCUAUUCCUUGUCUUAA
This is a non-coding RNA of Vicugna pacos (alpaca), 1028 nucleotides long. The record is from RefSeq and is a predicted model, not a curated record. Lineage: Eukaryota; Metazoa; Chordata; Mammalia; Artiodactyla; Camelidae.